Molecule: small nucleolar RNA, 109 nt
Organism: Rhododendron vialii
Lineage: Eukaryota; Viridiplantae; Streptophyta; Magnoliopsida; Ericales; Ericaceae
Product: small nucleolar RNA snoR97
Exons: 1
Source: RefSeq, a predicted model, not a curated record
AAUAAUUUGUGGGUGUAGGGCCUGAAAAAACUCGUAGAUUUUGUGUUGUUUAUCAGCUUCUUCUCUUGCUAAUGCCACGAGGAUGGAGUUAAAUCACAACACAACAUUG